UGAAAGUUGACAGACAACUAUUGCACUAAACUUUGCUGCUACUAGUAUGUGACUUUCAAAUGAGCUUAUGUAAAAACAUUGCUUGCGCAUGUCCAACUAGAAAGGACACGGCAGAUACAACUAUGUGAGCUAGCCUGAUAGGUAGUUCAAGCAACUUGAUUCAGUGAACUGGGAAUGAUCUAAGACGGACAAUAAGAAUGGAAAGCAAACAUUGAACCCCACGUUGAUCUGAAACUUUGGGAUUCAAGCAAGAAGUCGCAAACGUGCAACCAAAAUGCUCCUGUCAACAUUAUUAUUCAAGGUAACAUGCCAUCAGCAUCAGGAACACUGCUCAAUGAUUUGUAUGUGGCAUAGACAUGAUCCAGUUAUCAUGAUACAAUGACCAUCUUGUAAAAUGAAAGGCAUGUGCUGCUCAUUACAAUUAUUUUAAGCUGAGUGUUUCUUUCUUCUCUUUUAUUUAUGCAAGCGGAGAUGUAGCAGGCAGGGAGGCAGGGAGCCAUCACAUAUGCAUGUAUGUAUGAAGCAGAACAUGAAAAGAGCAACAUAUAAUUAACUUGAUUGACAUGACAUGGCAGGGUGUUUUUGUAGCCGAUGCCAAACAGCACCAUCGCCACCACCGUUGCAUGGAAGCAUCAAAAAAGAGGAGCCUGGCACGAUGAACCCCUUGUACAGAAUCAAAUCCUGCUGCACAAGGACAAGAGAAAUAAGAAGAUAAUACGAAAGCUGUUAAACAAAAUCAUAGGAUGCCAUCACGUAGUCCAGACAAAUUGAACACACACACACACACACACACACACACACACACACACACACACACACACACACACAUAUAUAUAUAUAUAUGUAUGCAUGCAUGCUUCUCAAAGUUUAAUUCCAUAGAAUUAAAGUGCUUCCGAUAGUAACCAAAUUAUUUUAAUACUCAGCCAUCCAGUACCACAUAGGAAGCAAAUCCUAAAAUAAAAAUGCACUUCUGAACAGAGCGACACACUACAAGAACUUACCAACAGGUUUGAACAAUGGAUGACAUACAGUACAAGAAAAAGAGCAGGAGAAUGGAUUCUGAUAGACUACACAAGAUGAUUGCAAUGACUAGGCUACAAGUUAAUACAAUUAACACAAGUUAAUGCAAGCCUGAUGUACUACUCAGGCUAAGAAGAAGCAGGUACAGUAGUAGUUUUAGCACACUAGUACAUGUGUUAAAAUGGAAGCAUCGCUGCUGGGUUAUAUUAAUAAAUAAUCCAAGUGUUGCAAUAGCCAACAAAAUAAAAAAUCUAUACACAUGCAUAGACCACAACACAUUUACCGACAUUGAUGGACUGGACAAACCUAACACAUACUUAUCAUACUAAUACAAUACAAGAUAAUGCAUUAGAGUGUCUGGAUUUGCAUGAACAAGAUGACCAGUUUCACAUCGGAUUUGCUUGAACAUGUAAAGUAUGUAUUAGUGUAAAGCCUAUCAAGUAUUCGAAUUGUGCUGCAGUUUAGUUGAGUUGCAAGUAGAACUACAGUGAAGAUGCUAUUCUAACUUCUGUGACUGAAGAAAAAUACACACCGUAUGUACAUCAUUUGUGCUAAACAUUAGCACACAAUGUUGAUGCUACUAUGCAACCACAAAUUAAAUCACUGGACACCGAGGCCGGAAAGGAGCCAUAGUGGACCAAGCAGCCAAACUGGGACAGGUUGGAUGAUUUUACCCUUGAGUAAUCUAAGCAGCACCUCGGACAGGGGGAUGAACCGACAUCCUCCCCCUCUGCACACUAUCCUCUCUUCACUAUCACACCCGAACCAUCGUCUUCCUCGACACCUGCAGCACCUCGGCUUACCAUGGUGAUAGCCUGCACAAACCCCCUUCACGAAUCAGAUCAUAUCUAAUCAAGAAGAAGCAUAGGAG
RNAcentral lists this long non-coding RNA (1891 nucleotides) under Triticum aestivum (bread wheat). RNAcentral describes it as "long non-coding RNA (TAES_LNC015212)". Lineage: Eukaryota; Viridiplantae; Streptophyta; Magnoliopsida; Poales; Poaceae. The record is from RNAcentral.